UUUCACAUAAUUGUUUCUUGUGAAAUUGAUAUAUUUAUUUCAUUUUGGAGUUGACACAUUGGACUCGUACUUGUACUCUUUGAAUGAGGUUAUCAUGUCUAAUAUUUAUUUUGAUAAUUGUAGAGCGGUACAUGUUGCUACCUUCUUUUUGAAACCUUGUGACUAUAAUUUGAUUUGGUUCAACAUGUACAUAUAGAACCC
RNAcentral lists this long non-coding RNA (201 nucleotides) under Panax ginseng (ginseng). Its description in RNAcentral is "long non-coding RNA (PGIN_LNC000040)". The record is from RNAcentral. Lineage: Eukaryota; Viridiplantae; Streptophyta; Magnoliopsida; Apiales; Araliaceae.